Molecule: ribosomal RNA, 293 nt
Filed under: uncultured bacterium
Lineage: Bacteria
Description: partial 16S ribosomal RNA
Rfam family: Bacterial small subunit ribosomal RNA
Source: RNAcentral
GUGCCAGCAGCCGCGGUAAAACGUAGGACGCAAACGUUAUCCGGAAUUACUGGGCGUAAAGGGCGCGCAGGCGGUUGGGUAAGUGAGGCAUGAAAGCCCCAUGGCUAAACCUGGGGAGGUUGUCUGAUACUGCCCGACUAGAGUACGAUAGAGGGGUGUAGAAUUCCGCGUGUAGUGGUGAAAUGCGUAGAGAUGCGGAGGAAUACCAGAGGCGAAGGCGGCACCCUGGAUCGUAACUGACGCUGAGGCGCGAAAGCAUGGGUAGCGAACGGGAUUAGAUACCCGCGUAGUCC